UACGUAGGGGGCAAGCGUUGUCCGGAAUUACUGGGCGUAAAGGGCGCGUAGGCGGUUAAUCAAGUCAGAUGUGAAAGUCCCCGGCUUAACCGGGGGAGUGCAUUUGAAACUGGAUAACUUGAGUGCAGGAGAGGAAAGCGGAAUUCCUAGUGUAGCGGUGAAAUGCGUAGAUAUUAGGAGGAACACCAGUGGCGAAGGCGGCUUUCUGGACUGUAACUGACGCUGAGGCGCGAAAGCGUGGGGAGCAAACAGG
Molecule: ribosomal RNA, 253 nt
Filed under: uncultured bacterium
Lineage: Bacteria
Description: partial 16S ribosomal RNA
Rfam family: Bacterial small subunit ribosomal RNA
Source: RNAcentral